RNAcentral lists this ribosomal RNA (492 nucleotides) under uncultured bacterium. RNAcentral describes it as "partial 16S ribosomal RNA". It matches the Rfam family "Bacterial small subunit ribosomal RNA", at positions 29 to 507 of the family's 1533-position model. The record is from RNAcentral.
AGUGAACGCUGGCGGUAGGCCUAACACAUGCAAGUCGAACGGCAGCACAGUAAGAGCUUGCUCUUACGGGUGGCGAGUGGCGGACGGGUGAGGAAUACAUCGGAAUCUACUUUUUCGUGGGGGAUAACGUAGGGAAACUUACGCUAAUACCGCAUACGACCUACGGGUGAAAGCAGGGGAUCUUCGGACCUUUCGCGAUUGAAUGAGCCGAUGUCGGAUUAGCUAGUUGGCGGGGUAAAGGCCCACCAAGGCGACGAUCCGUAGCUGGUCUGAGAGGAUGAUCAGCCACACUGGAACUGAGACACGGGCCAGACUCCUACGGGAGGCGGCAGUGGGGAAUAUUGGACAAUGGGCGCAAGCCUGAUCCAGCCAUACCGCGUGGGUGAAGAAGGCCUUCGGGUUGUAAAGCCCUUUUGUUGGGAAAGAAAAGCAGCAGGUUAAUACCCCGCUGUUCUGACGGUACCCAAAGAAUAAGCACCGGCUAACUUCGUG